Molecule: transfer RNA, 66 nt
Filed under: Marmota monax (woodchuck)
Lineage: Eukaryota; Metazoa; Chordata; Mammalia; Rodentia; Sciuridae
Description: tRNA.Ala
Source: RNAcentral
GGCUUAGCUCAGUGGUAGAAUAUUUGCCUAGCAUUUGUAAAGCACUGGGUUCAAUCCCCAGUGCCA